This 338-nucleotide unclassified non-coding RNA is filed under the name soil metagenome. Its description in RNAcentral is "partial contains 5.8S ribosomal RNA, internal transcribed spacer 2, and large subunit ribosomal RNA". The stretch from base 1 to 121 matches the Rfam family "5.8S ribosomal RNA", at positions 35 to 154 of the family's 154-position model. The record is from RNAcentral.
GAUGAAGAACGCAAGCGAAAUGCGAUAAGUAGUGUGAAUUGCAGAAUUCAGUGAAUCAUCGAAUCUUUGAACGCACAUUGCGCCCCUUGGUAUUCCAUGGGGCAUGCCUGUUCGAGCGUCAUUUGUACCUUCAAGCUCUGCUUGGUGUUGGGUGUUUGUCUCGCCUCUGCGUGUAGACUCGCCUCAAAAUAAUUGGCAGCCGGCGUAUUGAUUUCGGAGCGCAGUACAUCUCGCGCUUUGCACUCAUAACGACGACGUCCAAAAGUACAUUUUUACACUCUUGACCUCGGAUCAGGUAGGGAUACCCGCUGAACUUAAGCAUAUCAAUAAGCGGAGGA